GACGAACGCUGGCGGCGUGCUUAACACAUGCAAGUCGAACGGAAAGGCCCUGCUUUUGUGGGGUGCUCGAGUGGCGAACGGGUGAGUAACACGUGAGUAACCUGCCCUUGACUUUGGGAUAACUUCAGGAAACUGGGGCUACUACCGGAUAGGAGCUCCUGCUGCAUGGUGGGGGGUGGAACGUUUCGGCGGUUGGGGAUGGACUCGCGGCUUAUCAGCUUGUUGGUGGGGUAGUGGCUUACCAAGGCUUUGACGGGUAGCCGGCCUGAGAGGGUGACCGGCCACAUUGGGACUGCGAUACGGCCCAGACUCCUACGGGAGGCAGCAGUGGGGAAUAUUGCACAAUGGGCGGAAGCCUGAUGCAGCAACGCCGCGUGCGGGAUGACGGCCUUCGGGUUGUAAACCGCUUUCGCCUGUGACGAAGCGUGAGUGACGGUAAUGGGUAAAGAAGCACCGGCUAACUACGUG
Molecule: ribosomal RNA, 468 nt
Filed under: uncultured bacterium
Lineage: Bacteria
Description: partial 16S ribosomal RNA
Rfam family: Bacterial small subunit ribosomal RNA
Source: RNAcentral